Long non-coding RNA from Dendroctonus ponderosae (mountain pine beetle), 367 nucleotides. RefSeq lists it as uncharacterized. The transcript has 2 exons. Lineage: Eukaryota; Metazoa; Arthropoda; Insecta; Coleoptera; Curculionidae. The record is from RefSeq and is a predicted model, not a curated record.
GGUGAGUGAAUAUUUGAACAGUCAGCGCCAAUUUAGACGAGAUCGAAAAGGACAGAUUGGAUUGCAUGAUAUGUUUGGGUCAACUUCUAAAAACUGAACUAGCUAUUGCAAACGCAGCUGUUCUAAAUCGAAGUGAAAACACACUAACAUAACAGAACCAAAGGAAACAAAGGAAGUUAAAUAAAGCUUUUAAUAUGAAGACGAAGUUGAAUUUACUCCGCGAAAUAGUUCAGAACUGACAAAUAAAAACCACAUAAAACUGUGUGAAAACUUUGAAGGUAUUUAUUUGAAAAAGUGAAUGCCACAUUGGGCGAAGUUUUUUUCAUGUCUCCACUGCGCCAACGCCAAUAAAAUAAAUAAAAACGCA